CAGCACGGUAAUACGUAGGUGGCAAGCGUUGUCCGGAAUUAUUGGGCGUAAAGGGCUCGCAGGCGGUUUCUUAAGUCUGAUGUGAAAGCCCCCGGCUCAACCGGGGAGGGUCAUUGGAAACUGGGAAACUUGAGUGCAGAAGAGGAGAGUGGAAUUCCACGUGUAGCGGUGAAAUGCGUAGAGAUGUGGAGGAACACCAGUGGCGAAGGCGACUCUCUGGUCUGUAACUGACGCUGGGGAGCGAAAGCGUGGGGAGCGAGCAGGAUUAGAUACCCCGGUAGUCCCUGUCUCUUAUACACAU
RNAcentral lists this ribosomal RNA (301 nucleotides) under uncultured bacterium. RNAcentral's name for it is "partial 16S ribosomal RNA". It matches the Rfam family "Bacterial small subunit ribosomal RNA", at positions 512 to 816 of the family's 1533-position model. The record is from RNAcentral.